Molecule: long non-coding RNA, 803 nt
Organism: Monomorium pharaonis (pharaoh ant)
Lineage: Eukaryota; Metazoa; Arthropoda; Insecta; Hymenoptera; Formicidae
Exons: 2
Source: RefSeq, a predicted model, not a curated record
UUGCUAGGAUAUAACAUCCAGUCGAACAUCGAUUUAUUAGGCAAUGUGACAAAAUCGUAUCUUUUCGCCACCUUCUAUUGUGCCAUGAAUUGUCUAAUUUUAAAUAAAACAUUGCAGGUACUAAUUAGAAACUCUUAUUCGUAUGUGCGUUUUGUCGGCAUGUUAGUAUUAUGUAUUUUUUUUUCUCCAAUUGCGCAUUCGUUAUAUUGCUGCGUUAGUUCAUUUCUCCAAUGAAAUUAAUUAUUAAAUCUAUGAAAUUAAAUCAAAGUUCUAUCAAAGCGUACAAAUAUUUAUAUUUAUAAAAAAAUUAUAUGUAAAUCAUUCGUGACUUGAUGAAAAUAAAAUAAAUUUAUAUAUUUCUUUACGUAGGAUUGCACACAUGAUAUUAUUUCGCUCAUACACAUUGCACACAUGACACUAUUGCACAUAAGCUAAAGAAACAAUAUUAACACAUUGCACACAUGAUAUUAAAACAUUCAUACACGUACAUUGCACACAUGAUAUUAUUACGCUUAGCAGCGCGAGAACUUUAUUAGGAUCUCGUCAAAGCUAUCUCGAUAACGUUGCUGAAACUGAAGCGAAAUCUGAUGUUUCAUCUCUAAAAAUACGUUUAAUACGUAUUUCUUAUAUAUAUAAUUUAGUAAUACUUUAAAACUGAAAGUUCUUACGUGUGCCUGCUUUUUAUAAUUCUUUUUCGUUUAACGAGCUAGCGACCAUCAAUUAUAAUAUAGAAAUUGAAUCGGUGUCAAGCGUAUAAUGUACAUUUAAAAUUAUUUCAAUAAAUAAAUCGUUUGUAUUACGUA